RNAcentral lists this long non-coding RNA (4726 nucleotides) under Sus scrofa (pig). RNAcentral describes it as "lncRNA (ENSSSCG00030072723.1)". Lineage: Eukaryota; Metazoa; Chordata; Mammalia; Artiodactyla; Suidae. The record is from RNAcentral.
GAAAAGCAAGGUUUAUUCAGCACCGGUGCGGGUGCAGAGGAGUCACCUCCAGAGUCUGAGCACCAGGUCUUUGUUCUCAGUAACUUUUAUACACUACAAGGUCUUGAUUUUUCCAUGUAAGCAUCCCGGACCUCCCCCAUCCCCAAGCAGACAGUGUUCCUCCCUAAGAAACUGAGCAAGCAAGGUUACAGAAGCAGAACUGAUAAGGAAUGCUGGGUAUCUAAUUAGCAGGGCUGCUGGCUUGGACAGAGAGCACACAGUUGUUACAUUAUUACAAGAAGGGUGGCAUAGUGAUAAGCACAGCUGGAAAGGCUUGUAGCUGCCUUCUUAGCCAAGGGGGGGGGUUGUUUUUUAGUUAAAACUCCAUUUCACUUUAACCACUGUUGAGCUCUUGUUAUCUUUAAUAGCACUCCAAGGUAGGUACACAACAGUCUUCUACUCAUCUUCCAAAAUCCAGGUCAACUACCACCCACUCACGUCUCCCUUCUCUGCAUCCUCCUCCUGAUUCAAUAGCAUCAGCAAUUGAAGUUCAUUCAGACUGUGUCAGAUGUAACUUCUACCCUGAUUUCCAGGACCCUGAACAUAGUCUGAUGCAUGAAUCUGUCAUCGCUCAGAAAUGUACUGGCCUUUACCUGUAAGAAGUAACUUGUCUAUCCCUAUCUUCUUCCCUAGAUUAUAAACUCUUUCUGGGCUUAUUUAAGUGCCCUCAGUAUUCACUGAAUGAGGGUCCAUGUGGUAGAAACUCAGUGUCCACUGAUUGGAGGCCCUUGGAUAGACCCUCAGUAUCUGCUUAAUAGAGCAAUGGCGUGAUCAAUAUAGCAGCUGUUCCGUGAAUUUACUACAAGAGGCCCACUUUUCUCAGGCUGAAGUCAGUUUCUUUAGACUCCAAGCUGAUCAAAAUUUCUUCAGAAAAACAUGUUUGUUGAGUAAAACGGGGUUUGAGUCAUAAAAUAUGUCCUGAGCACUCAGUGCUUAUCAUGUGCCAGAUGCUGUAUCUGGAGUGUCUUGGAGGAUGAAAAAUUGAAUAAGACAUGGUUGCUGAUCUCAGGGAAUGUGUAUUCCGGUUAUUCCCCAGUACAGGGUGAAACAUGUGAUAGGAAAAGCUCAGUGAACAAAAUGAGGAACCACAAAUUAGACAGGGGUUUAGAGAAAAACUUUAUGGGGAGAUGAAUUUGUAGGAUAAAUAGUUAGAUGAAGAAGGGAGGGAAAGACCUUCCAGAAGAGAGAGCAGUGUGUUCAAAGAUAGGGAAGUAAGAAACAGUGUUACUUACUUAGGAAAAGAAAGUAACUCUGUAUGGCUGGAAUUGAUCUCCUUUGCUUCUGGAACAAAGGAAACCUGAUGUAUUUCAAAGAAUUACAUAUUAGUAUUACUUAUUGGAUUGAGUAACUUUCUAUCAGAUAAAUCAUAGGCUUUUCACCUAAAAUUGGCUUGUGCGCUAGUGCCAGUUUUUUGUUUGUUUCUUUGUUUUCCGGUGCCCACAGAGUAUGUGGAAGUUCCUGGGCCAAGGAUCAAACCCAAGCCACAGCAUUAACCAGAGCCACGGCAGUGACAACCCUGGAUCCUUAACCUGCUGAACCACCAGGGAACUCCUGCCAGGUGAUAUAUAUAUAUUUUUUUACCUUUCCUCCCCCCAGCUUCAAAAGCUCUCUAUGAUUGUUAUCUAAAAGCAGCAAAAUUAUUUCUUCCACAGAAGACUAUUUUAGAGCCCUCUAAACUUUUUGUACAGGGCAGAACUCAAUUUACAAGUAGUACUUUAAGGAAGAAACUGGGCUCUAGCUCCAGAGGUGGGGGAGGGGGAGACAGCUCCUCCUGGCAUCCGUGCUAAUACAGGACUAUGCGGGUAAAAAGUACCUGUCCAGAACCCAGGGAAAUACAUUUAAUGUAAGGUUUAAGGUGAGGUGGGACAUAGGAAAACCAUCCCAAUCACUCUUGGAGGCUUCAGCAUCCCUUUCGAAAGUGGGAAACUAGGACAUCCUCUUUUGUUGACUCCCUUUUGCUCAUCGUGCUCUUCUGCUGGGUCAUUUGGGGCAGGUGUGGGUCAGCCAAGCCGGCCCCACUUCCUUCAGCUGGACUCUCUAAUGCCUGAUUGAAUGCACCUCUUACACAAUUUUCUUUGCCAAAGAAAAUCUUCUGAAGGUCCCCUAGAUAGAUACUUGUUUUUCACAGGUCACUGGAAAGUUCUUGAUAUUAAACAAGCACAAUUGAAAAGGGUUUCAGUUACUUCCUCAAAGACUUGAAUAUGAUUUCUCCCGAGAGAAUGAAAACAGUUGGAAGCACUCAGAUUAUCUCCACCUUUUCUUGUCUGCCCUUUCCUCCCCUUGGGAUUGGUCAAGACCGAGGGAAAUAGGCCAGACCAGCAACUCGUUUAAUGCCGAAAUAAGGAAUAUUUAGGUCACUCUAUAAAAUCACUUAACCUGUUUAUGUAAUACAUAGUCAGGAAAUCUGACGGCCAAUCUCAAAAACAAUAUCAUUAUUUUGAAAAUUGAGAAUGCUAUAACUUAGAGGAUUUUGAAAAUGUAAUAAAGUAUAGACUCUGCCUAGAGGGAGAUUCUACCAUAAUUUUCAAUUAGCUUAACCAAGCAGGUAAAUGAUCAGUCACAGUAAAUUUUACCACUUCAAUCAUCAACGAUCAAACUACUUUGGGAGUCAUUUCUACUCUCAUAGUUGGGGUAAAUAAACAUGGCACAAAAUGGGGAAGUGGGGGACGGGGACAGGAAAGACUGAGUGAAGUGGCAAUGAAGAUCUGGAAAGGAAUUUUAAUUCUAAUUCCUUCUUCCCCUCACCCCAAGAACCAGGUGAAUUCCCUUUGCUCACCAUGCAAACUCGUUAAAUAAACACAGGCGUAUCUUAGCCCUGGCCAAAGUAGGAUGCUCUGCUGAUUCACAGCUUCACCUGUGCAAAGGCAGACGCCAUGGUGAACAGGUUGCAGAAAGAUAAACCUACUUUGCUCCCUGCACCAGGCAUGAGACCAGCAUGAGAUUGAAGCUCUCAAAGUGUCGGUAUCACUUCCAUAUAAGAUCACAUUUAGGCAUAAAAGUGUCCUUUGCCAGAUGAAAGAGCUUCUUUUGUUCUUUUCUUUUCUUUUUUUUUUUUGCCUUUUAAGGACCGCACCCAAAGCAUAUGGAGGUUCCCAGGCUAGGGGUCAAAUCAGACCUGUAGCUGCCAGCCUGCACCACAGCCACAGCAAUGUGGGAUCCGAGCUGCAUCUGAGACCUACACCACAGCUCAUGACAAUGCUGGAUCCUUAACCCACUGAGGCCAGGGAUUGAACCCACAUCCUCAUUAAUACUAGUCAGGUUUCUUAACCACUGAGCCACCGCAGGAACUCCUGAAAGAGCUUCUUAAAUAUGGAAUCCAAUCAAGGAAUCCACUUUAUACCAAAGGGGCUGUAGCAGUGGGCACAUGGCCAUAGAACCCAUCAGAGCUAUCCUGUGACAUAACACCCAGAAGCUAUCAGCCUAAUAAGCAAUAGAACAGCCUGUUGAAAACCUGGCUGAACUGCCAACUUGGAGAUGGUACCAUGUGAAGGUAAAGUGCCCCUGUCCAGGACGCAGUUAAGCUCUAAAUCAGUCACCAUCAUGUGGCGCUAUACCCCAACAGAAGAGUACCUGGAAAUGAGACCCAAGGGGUGUCCCUGUUCACCAGUCAAUUACAGUGACCCUCCAAGCACUUGGAGAAUUUGUGCUUUUCAUCCUCCCAACUGUAACUACAUGUUUAAAGCUCUUGGAGUUUCCCGCUGUGGCGCAACAGGAUCGGGGGCAUUUGGGGAGCACUGGGAUGCUGGUUCGAUGCCCAGCCUAGCACAGUGGGUUAGGGAGCCAGCGUUGCCACAGCUGUGGCUUAGGUUGCAACUGCAGCUUGGAUCUGAUCCCUGGCCCAGGAACUCCAUAUGGUGUGGGGCAGUCAAAAAAAAAGGUCUUGGUCCUGGGAGUGGGGUUGGGAGUACCUUUCUACAAGGGAACACAGCUAGAGUCUUCAGAGAACUUUUUUUUUUUUUUUUUUUUUUUUUUUUUGUCUUUUUGCCUUUUCUAGGACUGCUCCCGCAGCAUAUGGAGGUUCCCAGGCUAGGGUAUGUUGCCUAAACCUUCAGAGGUGCUGAAGGGGUAGCACCUCUGGGUAGUGAGGAGGCUCUAGAAAGGUCAGCAGAGGCGGGAAAGAAUGGGUAUAGUUUGCUGCCUCAAGACCAGCUACAGCAGCAGAGGGGGCUUCUAGCUCAUCUCACUAACCUUCCUUUUGUAAGCAUCCCCCUGGGGAAAAUGGUACCCCAGUGCCCUGAAGGAGCCGCUCCUCAGACUCUUGUGAAGAAAGUGGAUCUGAAUGAUGGGAGGCAUGGACCGUCCUGGAUGCAGUCUGGGAUGGCCCCCCCAGACCACAGCUGUCAGCCCUCUCUGGAAUUGCUUCAGCUGAAGAGGGCUGGUUUGCUCAAAGUCAGCUCCUCUGCGGGGAAGCCAGCCUUGGCUGACUGAUGCUCAAUCCUAUUUUCUUUGGUGCAGCAGGCAUUAAUUAGAGCCCUACCCUAAUAAACGUCCCAUAUGCUAAUCGCCAUUUCAGAGCUGACUUCCCAGGAAAUCUUAUCAGUGGCAGUUUCUCUAGUGUCGCCUGCAGUUUGAAGGAGAAGACAAUAAACAAAUAAAAUAAAUGUGUGAUUUGUACUCGGAAGGAAAUGAGCAAGAUGCAGGGACAGCAAAUACAGGCAAGGUGACAUUUAAGCCAAGAGAAGUCAGC